GACGAACGCUGGCGGCGUGCUUAACACAUGCAAGUCGAACGGAAAGGCCCUGCUUUUGUGGGGUGCUCGAGUGGCGAACGGGUGAGUAACACGUGAGUAACCUGCCCUUGACUUUGGGAUAACUUCAGGAAACUGGGGCUAAUACCGGAUAGGAGCUCCUGCUGCAUGGUGGGGGUUGGAACGUUUCGGCGGUUGGGGAUGGACUCGCGGCUUAUCAGCUUGUUGGUGGGGUAGUGGCUUACCAAGGCUUUGACGGGUAGCCGGCCUGAGAGGGUGGCCGGCCACAUUGGGACUGAGAGACGGCCCAGACUCCUACGGGAGGCAGCAGUGGGGAAUAUUGCACAAUGGGCGGAAGCCUGAUGCAGCAACGCCGCGUGCGGGAUGACGGCCUUCGGGUUGUAAACCGCUUUCGCCUGUGACGAAGCGUGAGUGACGGUAAUGGGUAAAGAAGCACCGGCUAACUACGUG
Molecule: ribosomal RNA, 468 nt
Filed under: uncultured bacterium
Lineage: Bacteria
Description: partial 16S ribosomal RNA
Rfam family: Bacterial small subunit ribosomal RNA
Source: RNAcentral